ACAUUGCACUUUAAAGCAAUAUAUAAAUGUUAGCUAUUAUUAUUUUUUUUCUUUUUCUUCCCAGGAGCUAUCAAGGCCAAGUUUGACUGCCAGGAAGGAGCUGGGAGCAGCCAAAGAGGCUGAACAUGUCAGACUUCUCUCCCAGCCUGCCACACACACUUAAAACCUAAAGGAAAUAAGCCGGGAUCAAUGGGAGGAAGGGAGCCAACCAGUUACAGUAUAUGGAGACUAUAUGCCUGGAGAGAUUCUGUGCUUCUUAGGAGUGAGUACCAGCCUGUGGAUCGCUGAUGAGUCUCAUCACCAGGUGGCUUAGGACUUGUACUGGUGAAAGGAGAGCCCACACCUCUCAAGAAUCUCCAAAGUGCUGAAGAAAUAAGACUUUUAAAAAUGUCAUGGGAAUUUUGCGAAGGCCAAGUAAGGACAUAACUGAUUCUCCAUGGUGAAAGUUUAACCAAAGUUGACAAAAACCACCACCGUCUACUAUAAAAGCGUUGUGGAUAUGUACCAAGAAGGACUUCACAUACUUGAUAUGACACUGCUGAUAGAGAAGUUAUUUCGGUGGGAAGAAUAGAACUUUAUCCUGAUAACAUCAUGAGUGUGGCUUUGAGGACCAAACAGUUCCUAAAUCCUACAGCCUAUGAUAGUUCCAUUGCUUGAUCAAGUUUAACAGUUUUUUUCUCCUUUCAUAAUGGUUUAUCACCUAGAUACAUUUUUCUACACCAUCCGAAAAGGAAAGAGAACUUCAGGGGCCAAAAAACCCACAAAGGCAGAGAAGAUAAUCAUUUGAAAGUAUUAAUGGCAGUAAGAAAAUCUUGAAAGAACAAUAGUUUUGUUUUGGUUUUUUUGGUCUGUCUCAAAGAAUGCUUUGACAAAUCUGAUCUGUGCACUUUUCCUGAGUCCCUGGCUUUGAAAUCAAAUCUGGUUUUAAUACAUAGCAGGUAUCAUCAGAGUACUUGGGUCUGUAAUUGAAGGAAAGUUGAGAUGGAGGGUGGGAAGGGAUUAGUUUGAUGCUUUCAUGGCUUGGCACAUCUGUGAAUGUUAGAAUAUAGAAGGAGAUGGAUAUCCAGGUUUAGAUCAGACCUAUCCGGAUGCAGGAGGCACAGAGUUUAGAUUGAAGGUGGCUAUUCAUCUCGAGGUUCAAAUGCUCAUCUUCCAAAGUCUGCCAAAAGGGUGUCAGCCUAUGGAGGGCAGUCUGUUUCUGUUCUUGGUCUGGUUCUUCCCUGAGCAAUAAUAA
RNAcentral lists this long non-coding RNA (1234 nucleotides) under Monodelphis domestica (gray short-tailed opossum). Its description in RNAcentral is "lncRNA (ENSMODG00000049011.1)". The record is from RNAcentral. Lineage: Eukaryota; Metazoa; Chordata; Mammalia; Didelphimorphia; Didelphidae.